CUCUUUUUAGAAGCACUCGUGGGUCUUUUGGUAAUGACCCACUGAGCCAUCAAGAAGGGGCAGAGUGAAAAUGUCACUUUUGGGUAAAGUGACAGCAUGUUGUGUUGCUUUGCUCUGAUUGGUGGUAUGACAGGG
This is a small nucleolar RNA of Heterocephalus glaber (naked mole-rat), 135 nucleotides long. The record is from Ensembl. Lineage: Eukaryota; Metazoa; Chordata; Mammalia; Rodentia; Bathyergidae.